Long non-coding RNA from Apis florea (little honeybee), 942 nucleotides. RefSeq lists it as uncharacterized. Lineage: Eukaryota; Metazoa; Arthropoda; Insecta; Hymenoptera; Apidae. The record is from RefSeq and is a predicted model, not a curated record.
UGCCAAGGUCCCUUGCUUCACCCGCGUGCCAUGCAUUGGAGGUUAUACACGGAUCUGCUUCAGGAAUACCUGAACGAGAUUGCUUAGCAGACCCCGUCGUCCCUGAAAGCUUCGAUGGCACACGUACUUACACAGGCGUAUAUGGUCUCCGGUAAAGCAAUAGGACGUGCAACAACCCCGUGCAACAUCCACCAGCUCACGCACACACGCAAUCGUUACACGCACCACACGCGUGUCCUCGUGCAUUGAUCGGCCAGUGACGCGCAUAGGAGGAUCUACUCGCCAGGUAUAUAAAGGUAUCCACCAAAAAGCCAGAGCAUCAUUCACCUCCAGUUCAACACACGAGCUGAUCUCCAAAGAUCUACGAAACCUAUCAACCAUGAAGUGCAUCGUUCUUGUCGCUCUCUUCGGCCUCUUCGCUGUAGCCUUCGCUCAGGCACCCAAGCCUGUCCAACCCGAUCAGGAACCAUCCGUGGAAGGAGAGGCAUUGAGAGAUAAGAGAGGCCUGUUACUAGCUUCCUACACUGCACCGGCAGCAUUAGCACCAGCACCAAUUGCGUACUCUUCUUACGUCGCCCCGGCAGCCCCAAUUAGCUACGCUCUGCCAUACGCCUACCGCGCAUACCCCAGCUACACGUAUCUGGGUUAAUUUUAGGGGGUAUUAGGGAUAACACCGAGGGACCUUUGUGAUCACGACUAGGGAAAUGAUUAUACGGCAAUUGGAAGGAUUUUCGACCGAGUCGUUUAAUCGACUACUACUUUAGUUUAAGUAAAUUUAGAACGAUAGCAACCGGAUGAAAUUUCUCUAUAAAUUGUUUAUAAUUGCUCAAAUUAUUGUUCGCACUUAUUAUAUAUCGAAGAUCAACUCAACUUUUUCAACAAAUCUUAAUACACCGUUCCGUUGUAUCUCACGAUGUUAAAUACAGAAAUUGAUUAAGCUCA